UCCGGGUGGUAGUCCAGCUGCAGGAGGAAGUAUCCCAGAAGAAACAGGAAGUAGCUGAUGUCAAAGGAUAGACUAGGCAGCUCAGCUUUUGCUCAUGGAUGUCUAAGAAAGUGCAUUAAUUAUGUCAAUUGAGGAAUGCUUCAAUAAGGAACGUAAAGAUUGCAUGAGAGGCUGAGAUUGAAGAUCAUCCAGGCCGUCUUCUCUUCUCCUGGAGCCAAACCCCCCCAGACUGAAGUCAGUGAUCAGGCUCUUCACCCCACCAUGCAGGGCUAGGAACCCUCCAUGUUCAGGACCCCUCCCAGAGCUGGCCUCUCUCAGCCUGUGUAUCUUCUCUUCUAUCCUGGCUGUAUGCUGGCUCUUCUCCUGCACCUCCUUCUGAUUCCUGACCUCCUCUGAGAGACACACGAUCAACUCCACAGUUAACACAAAGAAACACAGAAACAUGUGUGUCGCAUUGUAUAAUGAUAGAAGACAGGCACAGGAAUAUGAAAAUCUAGCUACCAGUCUGUAAGAAGCCGCCAGAGCUGUCAGUCUUACAUGGAACAGCCAGAGCCGCCAGUCAGCAUGGAGCAGCCAGAGUCGCCAGUCAGCAUGGAGCAGCCAGAUCCAUCAGUCUGCCAGGAUCCGCCAGUCAGCCAGACUCUUCCAGAUCCGCCAGUCAACCAGACUCUUCCAGAUCCGCCAGUCAACCAGACUCUUCCAGAUCCGCCAGUCAGCAAGGAUCUGCCGGAUCCAAUUACCUGCCUGAGCUUCCUCUCAGCGCUGGGCUUCCCCUCAGUGCUGGGCUUCCCCUCAGUCCCAAGCUGCCUCAGUCCAGAGCUGCCCCUCAGUCCCGAGCUGCCCCUCAGUCCCGAGCUGCCCCUCAGUCCCGAGCUGCCCCUCAGUCCCGUGCUGCACCUCAGUCCAGUGGGGUUCUGGGUGAGGACUACUAGGCCAUGGUCGGCGGCGAGGGUGGACUAUCCUAGGACGCGAGGAGGAGGAACUAAGACAUUGAUAGAGUGGGGUCCACGUCCCGCGCCGGAGCCGCCCACCCGGACCCUCCCUAUUGUGUUAAUGUGCGUCCGGGAGUCCGCACCUUA
Long non-coding RNA from Oncorhynchus masou masou (cherry salmon), 1079 nucleotides. RefSeq lists it as uncharacterized. NCBI's taxonomy places the organism in Eukaryota, Metazoa, Chordata, Actinopteri, Salmoniformes, Salmonidae. The transcript has 4 exons. The record is from RefSeq and is a predicted model, not a curated record.